CUGGCCCUGAAUCAAGGCCAGCAGCUUCCUAAUGCUGUUGGUUUCAAGCAGGAGCCUAAAGAGAUGUUUUUCUAUGGUCUGUUGGCUGUUUCAGAACUUGGGGCAGUGAAAUGGUCAAUUCAUUAGAAAGAAGCAGCU
This is a small nucleolar RNA of Cavia aperea (Brazilian guinea pig), 138 nucleotides long. The record is from Ensembl. NCBI's taxonomy places the organism in Eukaryota, Metazoa, Chordata, Mammalia, Rodentia, Caviidae.